Molecule: RNA transcript, 1719 nt
Organism: Pyrus x bretschneideri (Chinese white pear)
Lineage: Eukaryota; Viridiplantae; Streptophyta; Magnoliopsida; Rosales; Rosaceae
Gene name: triacylglycerol lipase OBL1
Exons: 5
Source: RefSeq, a predicted model, not a curated record
UAGAGUCCCUUCCCUCCUAUCAUGGAUAUAAUCCAAUUGCCAAUUACUAUCAUGGCUUCUAAGGGACCUGUCUGUCUCAGUUAUGUAUUUCUCAAGCCCGAAGAAGCAACUUUCAUCGAGCUCAUUCGCCUCCUCUUUUCCUCUGACAUAGAAAAGAGAAACUUCAUCACCUCCUCGGCAGUAAGAAAACUUGACUUCAAACGGAGGUUGUUAAUCUUCUUCUCUACCGUGAUUCAAUGCAUCCUCCUUCUCUUCAGAAAACCCAUGGCUUGGCUUGGGGGUGUUCUGGAGAAGUGGCUAAAUCUUGUAUCAAGCAACGGUGGAUUGCUCAUGCUCAUCCUAAACUGGCUAAAAGGAAAGGUGGUGAUACCAGAUACAUCAUCAACCAAAUCCCUGCUUGGAUUUCUUGACACACGAAUUAAAUUAGACGACAACAUGAAACCUGACGACACAAGAUAUAAAGGGUCGCUGUCCAUGAUGGCAGCCAAAUUGUCGUACGAGAAUGAAGAAUUCAGCUGAAAAAGUUGUCAGUGAAUACUGGAAGAUGAAACUCGUGGCGUUCUACAAAUUUUGGAAUGGUUACGAGAAACGAGAAUCAACCCAAGCCUUCAUGUUCCAAGACACAACAUCUGACCCCAACUUGGUUUGGGUCGCAUUUAGAGGCACCGAACCAUUCAGCGCCGACGAUUGGAGGACAGAUUUUGACAGUCUCAUGGUGCGAGUUUGCCGGAAUCAGCAAGACCCACGGAGGCUUCAUGAAAGCUCUCGGCAUGCAAACAGAGCAAAGCUGGCCCCUCGAACCGGAAACAGAAGAUCAUGAGUUCGCAUACUACAAAAUCAGACAAAUUCUGAUGGAUUUAUUGGAAGAAAACAAGAAUGCCAAAUUUAUAUUGACAGGUCACAGCUUGGGAGGGGCACUGGCGGUGCUGUUUGCGUCGGUGCUGGCAAUGCAUGACUACGAGGAGAAAUAUGCAUGGUUGAUGGAGAGGCUGGAGGGAGUGUACACCUUUGGACAGCCAAGGGUGGGGGAUGAGAAAUUUGCGGGCUAUGUGACGAAGAAGCUGAAAAAUUAUGGGGUGAGGUAUAUGAGGUAUGUUUAUUCCAAUGACUUGGUGCCUAGGGUACCAUUUGAUGAUACAACCCUAUUGUUUAAGCACGUUGCUCCAUGCCUUUAUUUCAACAGCUUCUAUAAAGGGAAGGAGUUGGAGGAGGCACCCAACAAGAACUACUUCAAUUUGCUAUUCUUCAUACCGAUGCGGUUAAAUGCAUUGUGGGAGCUGAUUAGGAGUUUCAUACUCCCAUUAAUAAAGGGUUCAGAAUACAAGGAAAGCUGGCUUAUGAUAAUGGCUAGGUUUUUUGGUUUAAUAUUUCCUGGAUUGGUAGCUCAUGCUCCUCAAGAUUAUGUCAAUGUUACUCGAUUGGGAUCGAUCCCGUCCCACAUGCCACUCCCAAAGCUUACCUCCAGAAAAUAAAUCUAAAGUUAAUUCAAGUUAUGUUAGUCUAGCUACUAAUAAUCCAACUGGACAAACGAUACACUACUAAAAAAAAGUUACUUUCGCAGCAAAACUUCUCCCGAAAAACAUGGUGUUUGCUGGGAAAGGUUGACAAACCAAAUAAAUUCGUUAUGUUAUAUGCUAUAGCCUAUAUUCAACUUUAUCUAUUGUAUGUAUCGAUGUUAUGGAAUAAAUCAUUCACGAGUGAAUUUAUUUACCGAUGAUA